This 774-nucleotide ribosomal RNA is filed under the name Salinibacterium sp. RNAcentral's name for it is "bacterial SSU rRNA". It matches the Rfam family "Bacterial small subunit ribosomal RNA", at positions 17 to 800 of the family's 1533-position model. The record is from RNAcentral. Lineage: Bacteria; Bacillati; Actinomycetota; Actinomycetes; Micrococcales; Microbacteriaceae.
UCAUGGCUCAGGAUGAACGCUGGCGGCGUGCUUAACACAUGCAAGUCGAACGAUGAAAGCCGGAGCUUGCUCUGGCUGGAUUAGUGGCGAACGGGUGAGUAACACGUGAGUAACCUGCCCCAGACUCUGGGAUAAGCACUGGAAACGGUGUCUAAUACCGGAUACGAACUUCAGCCGCAUGGCUAGGAGUUGGAAAGAACUUCGGUCUGGGAUGGACUCGCGGCCUAUCAGCUAGUUGGUGAGGUAACGGCCCACCAAGGCGACGACGGGUAGCCGGCCUGAGAGGGUGACCGGCCACACUGGGACUGAGACACGGCCCAGACUCCUACGGGAGGCAGCAGUGGGGAAUAUUGCACAAUGGGCGCAAGCCUGAUGCAGCAACGCCGCGUGAGGGACGACGGCCUUCGGGUUGUAAACCUCUUUUAGUAGGGAAGAAGCGAAAGUGACGGUACCUGCAGAAAAAGCACCGGCUAACUACGUGCCAGCAGCCGCGGUAAUACGUAGGGUGCAAGCGUUAUCCGGAAUUAUUGGGCGUAAAGAGCUCGUAGGCGGUUUGUCGCGUCUGCUGUGAAAACUGGGGGCUCAACCCCCAGCCUGCAGUGGGUACGGGCAGACUAGAGUGCGGUAGGGGAGAUUGGAAUUCCUGGUGUAGCGGUGGAAUGCGCAGAUAUCAGGAGGAACACCGAUGGCGAAGGCAGAUCUCUGGGCCGUAACUGACGCUGAGGAGCGAAAGCAUGGGGAGCGAACAGGAUUAGAUACCCUGGUAGUCCAUGC